UACGUAGGUGGCAAGCGUUGUCCGGAAUUAUUGGGCGUAAAGCGCGCGCAGGCGGCCUUUUAAGUCUGAUGUGAAAGCCCACGGCUCAACCGUGGAAGGUCAUUGGAAACUGAGGGGCUUGAGUACAGAAGAGGAAAGCGGAAUUCCACGUGUAGCGGUGAAAUGCGUAGAGAUGUGGAGGAACACCAGUGGCGAAGGCGGCUUUCUGGUCUGUAACUGACGCUGAGGCGCGAAAGCGUGGGGAGCAAACAGG
RNAcentral lists this ribosomal RNA (253 nucleotides) under uncultured bacterium. Its description in RNAcentral is "partial 16S ribosomal RNA". It matches the Rfam family "Bacterial small subunit ribosomal RNA", at positions 524 to 776 of the family's 1533-position model. The record is from RNAcentral.